RNAcentral lists this unclassified non-coding RNA (324 nucleotides) under soil metagenome. Its description in RNAcentral is "partial contains 5.8S ribosomal RNA, internal transcribed spacer 2, and large subunit ribosomal RNA". The stretch from base 1 to 120 matches the Rfam family "5.8S ribosomal RNA", at positions 35 to 154 of the family's 154-position model. The record is from RNAcentral.
GAUGAAGAACGUAGCGAAAUGCGAUAAGUAGUGUGAAUCGCAGAAUUCAGUGAAUCAUCGAAUCUUUGAACGCACAUUGCGCCCCUUGGUAUUCCAUGGGGCAUGCCUGUUCGAGCGUCAUUUGUACCUUCAAGCUUUGCUUGGUGUUGGGUGUUUGUCCCUCGGGACUCGCCUUAAAGUCAUUGGCAGCCAGUGUUUUGGUUUUGAAGCGCAGCACAAGUCGCGAUUCAAGGCUAUCCGCCCGCUUCCACAAGCCUUUUUCACUUUUGACCUCGGAUCAGGUAGGGAUACCCGCUGAACUUAAGCAUAUCAAUAAGCGGAGGA